RNAcentral lists this long non-coding RNA (806 nucleotides) under Cimex lectularius (bed bug). Its description in RNAcentral is "uncharacterized LOC106668724, transcript variant X1". The record is from RNAcentral. Lineage: Eukaryota; Metazoa; Arthropoda; Insecta; Hemiptera; Cimicidae.
UUCUUUAUCUGGUCUUCUGACUGAAGAAAACACAGGUUGUUUUUAUAUUUUGUUAAAAUCAUCACUCAGCAUAACUCCUUCUGCUUGUAUGAGGAAAAGUGUAAGCCUGCAGUCAGGAUUGGGAUUUCGUCUGCCUUUUUUGCCAGUUUGCCAGAACCUAUAUGUCACAUUUACUUUUACGGGUCACAAAAAUUUUAAGGCCAAGCAUCCUUAUUACAGCCAUUGUGGUACCAAAAUAAUAUAAGCAGGCAGGAUUAGAGAAGCAUUACAGGCAUUUAUACCAGCCACUGGCCUGUUAACUUUCAUCUUAAGAAGAUGGGAAAAACUGAGACGUAAACGGCUUUGUCAGGAGGAAUCAGAAACAUUCACACAUAUCCUUUGUGUAAUGUAAUGCGUUAGCCUGUUUACAGUGCAGGGACUUUGGUAGAAAAUUUCCCAUACCAAAGGAGAUCCAGGAAGAGACACCAAGAAAAGUACUCAGUUUUAUAAGGAAUAGAGCACCUUCCAAGGUAAUUUCUUAAUGCUUUCAUUGCCAUCGACAACUGUACUACCAACCAACAAUUAUACUGCGGAUGUAUUUUUGGCCAAAACCUUUAUCCAAAUAUCUGCAAUGUUGACUUUGCAUGAGCUGAAUUUUUUUAGACCUUCAAGAUACUGAAUUCGAACAUCGGCUCGAAGAUAGUUCUGAAUUGCAUGGCCUAAACACGUUGGGAAUGCACCCUCCGCCGGAUUCCUGGACAGGAAUUGAGGGAAAUGCACAAGGAAUGCCAGGAAAGGACCGCUGACAGAGAUAAUUUUAGAAUACA